UGGAAACCUCCUGUCUGAAUGCCUUUCCAUAUGUUUUCGGGUCCUAUUUAACUCCAAUGGCUUUCAACGAGGUAAGCAUGAGAAAAGGAAGGGAGAUCAUCCUGUACACUUCCAGAGAAAUAAUCUGCGCUCAAAGGAAUUCGAUUAAAAGUGGGAAACUUAGUUACAGCUGGGUAGGAGUUACUUCUCCCUUUGCUGCGGCCAAAUGCCUGACAGAAACAGCUUCAGAGCGGAGAGGGUGCUUUCCCAUCACAGUUUCAGAGGGUGUGGUCCAGCACGGUUGGGAAGAUGCGGUGCCUGGAAAAACUUGGGCCUGGGCAAUGAGAGCUAGCGGUACAGGCAGAAACAUGACUCGGAACGCUUGGGCCAGAAUACAGGCACUGCCCCCAAGGCCGGUCCCCAGAAACCCACUUCUGUCUUAGUCACACUUCUUGACCUCCCAACACAGCACCAUGAGCCCAGGAUGAAGUCUUCAAACACACGAGCAGAUGAGAGAUCUUUCACAUCCAAGCUGUGAUACGCUAGAAAGAAAAUAAGAACUCAAAACACGGUGAUCCCUGGAGUCCCUGUGGGGAACGGUAGGGACUGUUCUGGUUUUCUCGGUUUUUCUUCAUUUGUUUCCAGUCUGUGUUCCUCCUGCCUCAUCCUGCCUCAGUUUCCCAGAUACUGGGAUUGUCGCAUGCACCCCCACGCCAGGCUCCCUGUUCAUUCUUAGCUCUUCUCUGCGGGCUCUGAGGACACAGUCCAAUAUUCUGAGACCCAUCCAAAAGCCAACUGUAUCCAGCCUUCCACUGGACAGACAGGCUGGUUGUGAAUUCAAAUGGCUCGCCCAGAGAACUCCACUGAUUUAUGAAUAAUCCUUUUUCCUACUUUCCAGGGAUAUAUUUUUCUUUCCCUUAGGUCUGAGGUGAUAGCUCAUUGUUAUCUGAUCUCUUUCCAAA
Molecule: long non-coding RNA, 941 nt
Filed under: Rattus norvegicus (Norway rat)
Lineage: Eukaryota; Metazoa; Chordata; Mammalia; Rodentia; Muridae
Description: long non-coding RNA NONRATT003781
Source: RNAcentral